RNAcentral lists this ribosomal RNA (362 nucleotides) under uncultured Thermus sp. RNAcentral describes it as "bacterial SSU rRNA". It matches the Rfam family "Bacterial small subunit ribosomal RNA", at positions 1021 to 1382 of the family's 1533-position model. The record is from RNAcentral. Lineage: Bacteria; Thermotogati; Deinococcota; Deinococci; Thermales; Thermaceae.
GGGGAGCCCUAGCACAGGUGCUGCAUGGCCGUCGUCAGCUCGUGCCGUGAGGUGUUGGGUUAAGUCCCGCAACGAGCGCAACCCCCGCCGUUAGUUGCCAGCGGUUCGGCCGGGCACUCUAACGGGACUGCCCGCGAAAGCGGGAGGAAGGAGGGGACGACGUCUGGUCAGCAUGGCCCUUACGGCCUGGGCGACACACGUGCUACAAUGCCCACUACAAAGCGAUGCCACCCGGCAACGGGGAGCUAAUCGCAAAAAAGGUGGGCCCAGUUCGGAUUGGGGUCUGCAACCCGACCCCAUGAAGCCGGAAUCGCUAGUAAUCGCGGAUCAGCCAUGCCGCGGUGAAUACGUUCCCGGGCCUU